GAUGAACGCUGGCGGCGUGCCUAAUACAUGCAAGUCGAGCGAACAGACGAGGAGCUUGCUCCUCUGACGUUAGCGGCGGACGGGUGAGUAACACGUGGAUAACCUACCUAUAAGACUGGGAUAACUUCGGGAAACCGGAGCUAAUACCGGAUAAUAUAUUGAACCGCAUGGUUCAAUAGUGAAAGACGGUUUUGCUGUCACUUAUAGAUGGAUCCGCGCUGCAUUAGCUAGUUGGUAAGGUAACGGCUUACCAAGGCAACGAUGCGUAGCCGACCUGAGAGGGUGAUCGGCCACACUGGAACUGAGACACGGACCAGACUCCUACGGGAGGCAGCAGUAGGGAAUCUUCCGCAAUGGGCGAAAGCCUGACGGAGCAACGCCGCGUGAGUGAUGAAGGUCUUCGGAUCGUAAAACUCUGUUAUUAGGGAAGAACAAAUGUGUAAGUAACUAUGCACGUCUUGACGGUACCUAAUCAGAAAGCCACGGCUAACUACGUG
RNAcentral lists this ribosomal RNA (497 nucleotides) under uncultured bacterium. Its description in RNAcentral is "partial 16S ribosomal RNA". It matches the Rfam family "Bacterial small subunit ribosomal RNA", at positions 28 to 507 of the family's 1533-position model. The record is from RNAcentral.